Molecule: ribosomal RNA, 573 nt
Filed under: Salmonella enterica subsp. enterica serovar Durban
Lineage: Bacteria; Pseudomonadati; Pseudomonadota; Gammaproteobacteria; Enterobacterales; Enterobacteriaceae
Description: partial 23S ribosomal RNA
Rfam family: Bacterial large subunit ribosomal RNA
Source: RNAcentral
GUCUUAAUUGGGCGUUAAGUUGCAGGGUAUAGACCCGAAACCCGGUGAUCUAGCCAUGGGCAGGUUGAAGGUUGGGUAACACUAACUGGAGGACCGAACCGACUAAUGUUGAAAAAUUAGCGGAUGACCUGUGGCUGGGGGUGAAAGGCCAAUCAAACCGGGAGAUAGCUGGUUCUCCCCGAAAGCUAUUUAGGUAGCGCCUCGUGAAUUCAUCUCCGGGGGUAGAGCACUGUUUCGGCUAGGGGGCCAUCCCGGCUUACCAACCCGAUGCAAACUGCGAAUACCGGAGAAUGUUAUCACGGGAGACACACGGCGGGUGCUAACGUCCGUCGUGAAGAGGGAAACAACCCAGACCGCCAGCUAAGGUCCCAAAGUCAUGGUUAAGUGGGAAACGAUGUGGGAAGGCCCAGACAGCCAGGAUGUUGGCUUAGAAGCAGCCAUCAUUUAAAGAAAGCGUAAUAGCUCACUGGUCGAGUCGGCCUGCGCGGAAGAUGUAACGGGGCUAAACCAUGCACCGAAGCUGCGGCAGCGACACUCAGGUGUUGUUGGGUAGGGGAGCGUUCUGUAAGCCUG